UAGAAUGAAGUCUUAGACAGAAGGAAAUGAUUUCCUGCUUCCAAGUUGGUGACCAAUCUAGAUAUUAAAGCUACAAAUGACUUAUAUUGUAUUUCAGCAGAUUACAUUUAAUUAAUUAGUAAAAGGAAAACACAAACAGAUGAAAGACUUUUUCUGGAGUAUGAUUGACAAGGAAAAAACAAAUGAUACUGAGUGAUGGUAUGAGGGAACUUUCAGCAAAGCAUACAGAAAGGAGGAAGUAAUCACAGAUAAAGCCAACCAAUAUAAAGAUAGAGUCUUGAAGAAGACAAGAACGUUUUUGUUAAAAGUGAAUACAGGAACUAGUGGCUUCUGGACAGAGGUGGGAGGAAGAAUUACUUUUCAUUAUGUACCAUGUUGUAUCUUUUGGAUUUAUAUGUCAUAUGCAAGUAUUAACUAUCCAGAAAAUAAUUAUGUGAAAUUUACAGAAUAUGGAUUGGAAUAAGAACUCCUUCUUGACCCCUGUGUUUGGUAUGGAAGUCAAAGUUGAGACUGAAGAGGAGUGAUAAAAAUUGUGACAAAUAAAAAAGGGAAGUAAAUAUGGGAUGAUGAGCCUAUUGAUGCCAAAAAAGGCAAUUCUCCAAUUUAAGGGCACCAAAGAGGAAGAUAUAAGAACCUAAAAGGCAGUGGGUCAGAAAGCACACUUAAGUCUAAGGACUCAGUGGAGUGGUGCUGGGUAGGAGGGUGAAAUUUGGAUGGGAGGCUGUUGCAAAAAAUGAGAAAGAGUACGUGACCAUCUGUAUGUAUCUGUUAUUAUCUCCUUGAUCUAAGCUUCCCUCUCUUACUGUGGUCAUGCACCCACAUCUCAGGGGUUCCACAAAUGUAACAGUCCCCGUCCUUGGAAAAAAUUGUACUAUCAGUUAUUUGCAUGCUUGAGCUUGUGAGUGUGGUAUCAGUAGGGUCCCCAAGAUGGCAAUGACAGCAGAGCAGGAAAGUAAUUGUUUUACAGAAAUCUGUUUCUUUCUAUUUCUGCAUUCUGUUUCUAGGGUCAAUGCAAGUAUAUUUGCAGUUGAAUGGAACAGAGCUUCUAGGAAAUAAAAAACAGAUGUUGGAGGAAGGCAUUCAGGAUGCUGGAAUUCCCAACUCUGCCUAGGCUGCACCAAGGCUGUAGUGGAUUUAAAAAUGUCAAACUACACUGACUCCCAAGCCUGAAUGUCCUGUGGAAAGAAAAGAAUAGUUUGGCUGAUCUCAUAAAGAGUACCCUUAGGCAAAGGAACAUAUUCUUCCUGAUUCACUUCUCAGAUGUAGAGAAAUAUGGACAUAUAAACUACUUUGGGUUAUUUUUGAGAGGCGGGUGAGAGGCAGAGAGAGAGGGAGAGAGUGGAUCCAAAUGGGCUCUGCACUGACAGCAGACAGCCUGAUGUGGGGCUUGGACUCACGAACUGCAAGAUCAUGACCUGAGCCAAAGUUGGACAUAACCAACUGAGCCACCCAGGUGCCCCUACAUUUCUUUUGAAUAAAGGUUUUGUUGAAAACAGUAAACAUGCGUUAAUUGUCAUUCUUUUACAAUACUUCAUUGUGGACAGCUUCCUUGUAUCGUGGGAAAUACAAAAAGUAUGAAAGGUACUCCAAUUACAUAUCUAUAUACCUAUUUAUGAAUGAUUCUUUGCCUGAAACCCAACUGUUUGGUUAUUUAUUGCUGACAAACAGCCCCAAAACUUAAC
Long non-coding RNA from Acinonyx jubatus (cheetah), 1682 nucleotides. RefSeq lists it as uncharacterized. NCBI's taxonomy places the organism in Eukaryota, Metazoa, Chordata, Mammalia, Carnivora, Felidae. The transcript is spliced from 5 exons. The record is from RefSeq and is a predicted model, not a curated record.